This 870-nucleotide long non-coding RNA is filed under the name Nicotiana benthamiana. RNAcentral describes it as "long non-coding RNA (NBEN_LNC035876)". Lineage: Eukaryota; Viridiplantae; Streptophyta; Magnoliopsida; Solanales; Solanaceae. The record is from RNAcentral.
CUUUCCCCGAAUCCUAUGCUUAGGUUCUUAAGAGGGACUUUUACUCCCAAAUGACUCAACCACCAUUUACUUUCAUCCCCUCUCGACACUCCUUCACAUGGAUCUUGGAACUUUAGUUACCCCCAAAAUUAAACAUUUCCUCUGGCUUUGCGGCCAUCAUCGCCUUCCUACUGCUGUAUAUUAUCAUUAUAUAGGCAUACUAAACAUAAAUGUUUGUGCUCGAUGCCGCCAGUCCAGAAACAAUUAGACAUCGCCUAGCAAACACACCAAUUUGGACUAACCUAGGCAUGCUUCCGAACCUUACUGGGCUGCAGGGGAUUGAUGACACCCCUGUUUAAUGGCUAAACUAACUUAUCUUACAUAUUGAUAUCCAAAUAUCCUGAACAUCCCAACUUCUAUACUCACGCCGUUCCGUCUCUGGCAUAUUUGGUUAGGUUGAAAUGCCAUUCUUUUUUGCUCAAGGUAAAAACCGUUUAUGCCUCCCAUAUCCUUAACUUGGUAGUAGUAGGAACACUAGUAGUAGGAGGAGGAAAAGCAGUAGGAGCAGCAAUAGUAGUAGCAUCAGCAGCAGAAGUAGUAGUAAUAGCAGCAGUAGCAGCAACAACAACAACAACAACAACAACAAUACUAGUAGGAGGAGGAGCAGUAGCAGCAGCAACAGCAGUAGCAACAACAACAACAUAAGCAGUAACAGCAACAGCAGAAGCAGUAGCAAUAGCAGUAGUAAUAGAAGCAGUAGUAGCAGCAAUAAAAGCAGUAGCAGCAGUAACUGUAGUAGUAGUGAUUCCCUUCUUGCACCGAAAAAAGGUUUUUUUUCCCUUUACUGUGCAUGCUUCAAAAUUUUAAUGAUCACUAAACAAUUUAUUUCUA